This 3437-nucleotide long non-coding RNA is filed under the name Homo sapiens (human). RNAcentral describes it as "HSALNT0352417". The record is from RNAcentral. Lineage: Eukaryota; Metazoa; Chordata; Mammalia; Primates; Hominidae.
UUAGAAAACAGGGUUUCAUGACCCCAUUGCUGGGUGGAAUCAUUUGCUCGGACAGCUUGCAGAACUCAGAAAAACAGGUUGUUUUUUUUUUUUUCUGAGAUACAGGGUCUCAGUCUAUUGCCAGACUGGAAUGCAGUGGUGUGAUCAAAGCUCACUGUAGCAUGGGACUCCUGGGCUCAAGUGAUCCUCCCACCUCAGCCUCCCAAAUAGCUGAGACUACAGGCCCGCACCAGCAUAUCUGGCUAAGUUUUUUUAUUUUUUGUAGAGAAGGGGUCUUGUUAUGUUGCCCAGGCUGGUCUCAAAUUUCUGGGCUCACAUGAUCCUCCCACCUCAACUUCACAAAAUGCUGGGAUUAUGGGUGUGAGCCACUGCAUCUCACCAAUUUACUUUCUUUUACUGGUUCAUUUUAAAGGCUAUAUCUCAGAAACAGCCGGUGAAAGAGAUGUACAUGCUGGGCACAGUGGCUCAUGCCUGUAAUUUCAGCUCUUUGGGAGACUGAGGCGGGAGCAUCGCUUAAGUGCUCAGGAGAUUAAGACCAGCCUGGGUAACACGGUGAAAACGCAUCUCUACAAAAAGGUUUUUCUAAAAAUUAGCCAGGUGCAGUGAUCUAUAGUUCUAGCUACUCAGUGCCUAUAAUUCUAGUUACUCAGGAGGCUGAGGUGAGAGGAUGAGAGAUGGGGCUUGAGCUAGGGAGGCAUAGGUCGCAGUGAGCCACGAUUGUGCCACGGCACUCUAGGCUGGGGGACAGAGCCAGACCCUGUUUCAAAAAAAAAAAAAAAACCACAGGGCAAGGUGUGUCGGGAGGUCGGGAGGGCUGCAGAACUUCCAUGCUCUCUAUUGCGCGUGUUACCUUCCUGCUAUCUCCCUUGUGUUCAGCAACCCAGGCAUUCUCCAAAUCUGGUUGUUGAGGUCAUUUAUGAAGGCUUCUUUAAGCAGGCAUGAUAGAUGAAAUCAUUGACUAUUGGUGAUUAAGUCAGUCUUCGGCCACUAUUUCUUCGUGGAGCCCAGUGGGUGAGGCUGACAGUUCCAAGCCUCUAAUCACAUGGUUUGUUCUUCUGGCAACCAGCCCUUUUUCUUAAGCUGUCUAGGAGCUUUCAGUCACCCAGUCAAAUCAGUAACAUCACCAAAUGCAUUCUUACUAUGGUGAUCCCAAAGGUCUUAGAGGCUCUUGUGUUAGAAACCUGGGACUAAGACCAAAUAUUCAAACAAAAGAUGCUCCUAUCACCUUUAUCACCAAGGCCUUUAUAAGAACUUGAGAAGCUCUGUGCCAGGACGAGGGGCAGAAACCAAAUGUGUAUUUCUUUUCUUUUUCUUUUGAACACAAGUGUCUCUGUUUCACCCAAUCUGGAGUGCAAUGAUGCAGUCGUAGCUAACUGCAGCCUCAACCACCUGGGCUCAAGCAAUUCUCCCGCCUCAGCCUUCCAAGCAUCUGGGACUACAGGUGCACACCAUCCAUGCCCAGCUGAUUUUUGUAUUUUUUUGUAGAGAUGGGAUCUUGUUAUAUUGCCGAGGCUGGUCUUGAACUCUGGGGCUAAAGCAAUCCUUUCACCACAGCCUCUCAAGUAGCUGAAACUACAGAUGCAUACCACCAUGCCCAGCUAAUUUUCUCUUAUUUCUUUUUGUUGUUUAAUUGAGGGGGGGGGUCUCACUGUGUUUCCCAGGCUGGUCCCGAACUUCUGGCCUCAAGCAUUUCUCCUGCUUUGACCUCCUAAACUGUUGGGAUUAUGGUUGUGAGCCCCGGCCUCUGUGUCCAGCAAUCACAAGAGGUCUUUAUAAGUGAAAGAGGGAGGUAAGAGAGUCAGAAUUGAAGGAGAUUUGAUGAUGGAAGCACAGGUCACAGAGGGAGAUUUGAAUAUGCUUUGCUUCUGGCUUUGAAGAUGCAUUUAGGGGCCAUGAGGCAAAGAAUAGGGGUGGCUUUUGGAACUGGGAAAGGCAAGGGAACACCUUCUCUCUGGAACCUCCAGAAGGGAUGCAGUCCUGCUGACACCUUGACUUUAGCCUUAAUAGACCUAUUUUGGACUUCUGGCCCCCAGACCUGUUAGGUAGUAGAUUUGUGGUGUAUUAAGCCACUCAACGUAAGGUAGUUUGUAACAGCAGCAAGAAGAAAUGAACAUGAAGCCAGGGGUAGUGGCCCACACCUAUAAUUCCAGCUAUUUAGGAGGCUGAGGCAGGAUGGUUGCUCUGGCCCAGGAGUUCAAGAUAAGCCUGGGCAACAAAGUGAUACCCUGUCUACAUGGGAAAAAAAAAUUAGCGGGUGUAGUGGCAUGCACUUGUAGUCUUAGCUACUAGAGGCGCUGAGGCAGGACGAUUUCUUGACCUAGGAGUUCCAGGUCUCAGUGUGUUGUGAUCGUGCCAUGGUGCCCCAGCCUGAGUGACACAGCGAGAUUAUAUCUUAAAAAAAAAGUAAAAAGAAAUGAGUGAGCAUGGCAGGAAUGGGGACACAUAGCAAUAUUAAAUAGAGUGGUCAGGGUUGGCCUCCUAAGUGAAAAUUGAGCAAAGACUUGAAGGAGGGGAAGGAGCUGGCCAAGGUACUGAGGGAAGAGCAUUAUAGGCAGAAACAACAGAAUAAAGAUGCUAAGAGGGAACUCCGUGGUGUGUCUGAAGCUCAGGAAAGAGGAUUGUCGAGCAGAGAGGGGGAGAGAAGGUAGGGGAGGAGGCCAGGGAGUUGUGGGACUCAGAUCAGUACAGAUUGUGCAAGCCCUGGGAGGCUAUUGCUGGGGCUUUGGCUUUUAUGCUGUCUGAGAUGGGACAUGCGGAAGGGUUCUGAGCAGAGAGGUGACACGAACUGUCUAUUGAUUUAAAAGCAUCCCAUGGUGGCUGAGUUGAGAAAGAUUGUGGGAAGAUUUGGGUAGAAGCACGGAGGCCAAGCUGUGGCAACAUCCAGGUGGGAGAUGAUAGUGGUUCUGACCAGGGUCCUGGCAAUGGUGAGAGAUGGUUGAUUCUUGUUGAGAUACUAAGUAAUUAAAAAAAAGAAACACUACUGCUUUUCCUGAUUAUAUGAAGUAUGGGAUGCUAGAUUAAAGACAUCUUAAGUCGGGCCAGGUGCAGUGGCUUAUGCCUGUGGCGUCAGCACUUUGGGAGGCACAGAUGGCACAGAUGGGAGAAUUGUUCAAGUCCAGGAGUCUGAGACCACCCUGGGCAACAUAGCAAGACCUCCUGUCUAUGCAAAUAAAAAUUAAUAAAAUAUAAUUAUCAUGGGAUAGUGGUAUUUUCCUGUAGAACCAGUUACUCUGGUUGUCGAGAUGGGCAGAUCUCUUGAGGGUGGGAGUUUGAGGCCACCUUGGGCAACAUAGCAAGGCUCCUCUUUCUACAAAAAAAAAAAAAUUAUCUGGGUGUUGUGGUCCCAAUGAGGGACAGCAUUCCUGAGACUUUUUAAGUACUUCGUGUGAUGGUCUAAUAAUCAUAGCCUUAAAACUUUCUGGCUGGGCAUGGUGGCU